AGAGUUUGAUCAUGGCUCAGAACGAACGCUGGCGGCGCGCCUAAUACAUGCAAGUCGAGCGAGAAGGUGUAGCAAUACACUUGUAAAGCGGCGAACGGGUGAGGAAUACAUGGGUGACCUACCAUUGAGUGGGGAAUAACCAGCCGAAAGGCUGGCUAAUACCGCGUACGCUUCCGGAUUUUCGAGUUCGGAAGGAAAGCGAUACCGUGGGUAUCGCGCUCUUUGAUGGGCUCAUGUCCUAUCAGCUUGUUGGUAGGGUAACGGCCUACCAAGGCUUUGACGGGUAGCUGGUCUGAGAGGACGAUCAGCCACACUGGCACUGCGACACGGGCCAGACUCCUACGGGAGGCAGCAGUAAGGGAUAUUGCGCAAUGGGCGAAAGCCUGACGCAGCGACGCCGCGUGGGGGAUGAAGGUCUUCGGAUUGUAAACCCCUUUCGGGAGGGAAGAUGGGACGGGCAACCGUUCGGACGGUACCUCCAGAAGCAGCCACGGCCAACUUCGUGCCAGCAGCCGCGGUAAUACGAAGGUGGCAAGCGUUGUUCGGAUUCACUGGGCGUACAGGGUGUGUAGGCGGUUUGGUAAGCCUUUUGUGAAAGCUUCGGGCCUAACCCGGAAAGCGCAGAGGGGACUGCCAGGCUAGAGGACGGGAGAGGAGCGCGGAAUUCCCGGUGUAGCGGUGAAAUGCGUAGAGAUCGGGAGGAAGGCCGGUGGCGAAGGCGGCGCUCUGGAACGUAUCUGACGCUGAGACACGAAAGCGUGGGGAGCAAACAGGAUUAGAUACCCUGGUAGUCCACGCCCUAAACUAUGGACACUAAGUGUCGGCGGGUUACCGCCGGUGCCGCAGCUAACGCAUUAAGUGUCCCGCCUGGGAAGUACGGCCGCAAGGGUUGAAACUCAAAUGAAUUGACGG
This 912-nucleotide ribosomal RNA is filed under the name uncultured bacterium. RNAcentral describes it as "bacterial SSU rRNA". It matches the Rfam family "Bacterial small subunit ribosomal RNA", at positions 8 to 916 of the family's 1533-position model. The record is from RNAcentral.